This 494-nucleotide ribosomal RNA is filed under the name uncultured bacterium. Its description in RNAcentral is "partial 16S ribosomal RNA". It matches the Rfam family "Bacterial small subunit ribosomal RNA", at positions 28 to 507 of the family's 1533-position model. The record is from RNAcentral.
GAUGAACGCUGGCGGCGUGCCUAAUACAUGCAAGUAGAACGCUGAAGGAGGAGCUUGCUCUUCUGGAUGAGUUGCGAACGGGUGAGUAACGCGUAGGUAACCUGCCUGGUAGCGGGGGAUAACUAUUGGAAACGAUAGCUAAUACCGCAUGACAACAGUUAUUGCAUGAUAACUGUUUAAAAGGGGCAACUGCUCCACUACCAGAUGGACCUGCGUUGUAUUAGCUAGUUGGUGAGGUAACGGCUCACCAAGGCGACGAUACAUAGCCGACCUGAGAGGGUGAUCGGCCACACUGGGACUGAGACACGGCCAGACUCCUACGGGAGGCAGCAGUAGGGAAUCUUCGGCAAUGGACGGAAGUCUGACCGAGCAACGCCGCGUGAGUGAAGAAGGUUUUCGGAUCGUAAAGCUCUGUUGUAAGAGAAGAACGAGUGUGAGAGUGGAAAGUUCACACUGUGACGGUAGCUUACCAGAAAGGGACGGCUAACUACGUG